This 1398-nucleotide ribosomal RNA is filed under the name uncultured Bordetella sp. Its description in RNAcentral is "partial 16S-23S ribosomal RNA intergenic spacer". It matches the Rfam family "Bacterial small subunit ribosomal RNA". Lineage: Bacteria; Pseudomonadati; Pseudomonadota; Betaproteobacteria; Burkholderiales; Alcaligenaceae. The record is from RNAcentral.
GGUUCGAUCAUGGCUCAGAUUGAACGCUGGCGGGAUGCUUACACAUGCAAGUCGAACGGCAGCACGGACUUCGGUCUGGUGGCGAGUGGCGAACGGGUGAGUAAUGUGUAUCCGGAACGUGCCUGGCGGGGGAUAACUACGCGAAAGCGUAGCUAAUGCCACAUACGCCCUUCGGGGAAAAGCAGGGGACCUUCGGGCUCACUAUUAGAGCGGCCGAUAUCGGAUUAGCUAGUUGGUGGGGUAACGGCUCGCAAAGGCGACGAUCCGUAGCUGGUUUGAGAGGACCAGCCACACUGGGACUGAGACACGGCCCAGACUCUACAGGAGGUAGCAGUGAAAUUUUGGACAAUGGGGAAACCUGAUCCAGCCAUCCCGCGUGUGCGAUGAAGGCCUUCGGGUUGUAAAAGCACUUUUGGCAGGAAAGAAACGGCACGGGAUAAUACGUGCAACUGACGAAAUCUACAAAUAAGCACCGGCUAACUACGUGCCAGCAGCCGCGGAAAUGUACCGUCAGGGUGCAAGCGUCAUCGAGAUUACUGGGCGUAAAGCGUGCGCAGGGCAGUUCGGAAGAAAGAUGUGAAAUCCCAGAGCUUAACUUUGGAACACAUUUUUCUUCCUCCGAAACUAGAGUGUGUCAGAGGGGUGGAAUUCCGCGUGUAGCAGUGAAAUGCGUAGAUAUGCGGAGGAACACCGAUGGCGAAGGCAGCCUCCUGGGAUAACACUGACGCUCAUGCACGAAAGCAUUAAGGGCAAACAGGAUUAGAUACCCUGGUAGUCACCCCAAACGAUGUCAACUAGCUGUUGGGGCCUUCGAACACUUGGUAGCGCAGCUAACGCGUGAAGUUGACCGCCUGGGAGUACAGUCGCAAGAUUAAAACUCAAAGGAAUUAUUGACGGGGACCUACGCACAAGCGGUGGAUGAUGUGGAUUAAUUCGAUGCAGCACGAAAAACCUUACCUACCCUUGACAUGUCUGGAAUCCCGAAGAGAUUUGGGAGUGCUCGCAAAGAGAACCGGAACACAGGUGCUGCAUGGCUGUCGUCAGCUCGUGUCGUGGAUGUUGGGUUAAGUCCGCAACGAGCGCAACCCUUGUCAUUAGUUGCUACGAAGGGCACUCUAAUGAGACUGCCGGUGACAAACCGGAGGAAGGUGGGGAUGACGUCAAGUCCUCAUGGCCCUUAUGGGUAGAGGGCUUCACGUCAUACAAUGGUCGGGACAGAGGGUCGCCAACCCGCGAGGGGAGCCAAUCCCAGAAACCCGAUCGUAGUCGGAUCGCAGUCUGCAACUCGGCUGCCAUGUAGUCGAUCGCUAAUCGCGGAUCAGCAUGUCGCGGUGAAUACGUUCCCGGGUCUUGUACACGCCCGUCACACCUGUAGAAUUGCGCGUGUACUUCGUUCGG